AACGAACGCUGGCGGCAUGCCUAACACAUGCAAGUCGAACGAGACCUUCGGGUCUAGUGGCGCACGGGUGGGUACCGCGUGGAAACCUGCCCUUAGGUUCGGAAUAACUCCCCGAAGGGGGUGCUAAUACGGGAUAAUGUUUUCGGACCAAAGAUUUAUCGCCUUUGGAUGGGCCCGCGUUGGAUUAGCUAGUUGGUAGGGUAAAAGCCUACCAAGGCGACGAUCCAUAGCUGGUCUGAGAGGAUGAUCAGCCACACUGGGACUGAGACACGGCCCAGACUCCUACGGGAGGCAGCAGUGGGGAAUAUUGGACAAUGGGCGAAAGCCUGAUCCAGCAAUGCCGCGUGAGUGAUGAAGGCCUUAGGGUUGUAAAGCUCUUUUACCCGGGAUGAUAAUGACAGUACCGGGAGAAUAAGCUCCGGCUAACUCCGUG
This 433-nucleotide ribosomal RNA is filed under the name uncultured bacterium. RNAcentral describes it as "partial 16S ribosomal RNA". It matches the Rfam family "Bacterial small subunit ribosomal RNA", at positions 29 to 507 of the family's 1533-position model. The record is from RNAcentral.